This 246-nucleotide ribosomal RNA is filed under the name uncultured bacterium. RNAcentral describes it as "partial small subunit ribosomal RNA". It matches the Rfam family "Bacterial small subunit ribosomal RNA", at positions 26 to 285 of the family's 1533-position model. The record is from RNAcentral.
AGAAUCAACGCUGGCGGCGUGCCUAACACAUGCAAGUCGCACGAGAAAGUGGAGCAAUCCACGAGUAAAGUGGCGCACGGGUGAGUAACACGUGAAUAAUCUACCUCCGAGUGGGGAAUAACUGAGAGAAAUCUUAGCUAAUACCGCAUAAUACCCACGGGUCAAAGCAGCAAUGCGCUUGGAGAGGAGUUCGCGGCCGAUUAGCUAGUUGGGCGGGUAAUCGGCCCACCAAGGCGAUGAUCGGUA